GAUGAACGCUGGCGGCGUGCUUAACACAUGCAAGUCGAACGGUGUGCUCAUGACGGAGGAUUCGUCCAAUGGAUUGAGUUACCUAGUGGCGGACGGGUGAGUAACGCGUGAGGAACCUGCCUUGGAGAGGGGGAUAACACUCCGAAAGGAGUGCUAAUACCGCAUGAUGCAGUUGGGUCGCAUGGCUCUGACUGCCAAAGAUUUAUCGCUCUGAGAUGGCCUCGCGUCUGAUUAGCUAGUAGGCGGGGUAACGGCCCACCUAGGCGACGAUCAGUAGCCGGGACUGAGAGGUUGACCGGCCACAUUGGGACUGGAGACACGGUCCAAACUCCUACGGGAGCAGCAGUGAGGAAUAUUGGUCAAUGGGCGAGAGCCUGAA
RNAcentral lists this ribosomal RNA (379 nucleotides) under uncultured bacterium. RNAcentral describes it as "bacterial SSU rRNA". It matches the Rfam family "Bacterial small subunit ribosomal RNA", at positions 28 to 387 of the family's 1533-position model. The record is from RNAcentral.